This 494-nucleotide ribosomal RNA is filed under the name uncultured bacterium. RNAcentral's name for it is "bacterial SSU rRNA". It matches the Rfam family "Bacterial small subunit ribosomal RNA", at positions 903 to 1397 of the family's 1533-position model. The record is from RNAcentral.
AAAUGAAUAGACGGGGACCCGCACAAGCGGUGGAGCAUGUGGUUUAAUUCGAUGCAACGCGAAGAACCUUACCUGGUCUUGACAUGUCUGGAAUCCCGAAGAGAUUUGGGAGUGCCGCAAGGAACCAGAACACAGGUGCUGCAUGGCUGUCGUCAGCUCGUGUCGUGAGAUGUUGGGUUAAGUCCCGCAACGAGCGCAACCCUUGUCCUUAGUUGCCAUCAUUAAGUUGGGAACUCUAAGGAGACCGCCGGUGACAAACCGGAGGAAGGUGGGGAUGACGUCAAGUCAUCAUGGCCUUUAUGACCAGGGCUACACACGUGCUACAAUGGCAGGUACAGAGGGAAGCCAACCCGCGAGGGGGAGCUAAUCCCAGAAAACCUGUCUUAGUCCGGAUUGGAGUCUGCAACUCGACUCCAUGAAGUUGGAAUCGCUAGUAAUCGCAGAUCAGCAUUGCUGCGGUGAAUACGUUCCCGGGUCUUGUACACACCGCCCGU